This 45-nucleotide ribosomal RNA is filed under the name Acacia telmica. RNAcentral describes it as "partial 18S ribosomal RNA". Lineage: Eukaryota; Viridiplantae; Streptophyta; Magnoliopsida; Fabales; Fabaceae. The record is from RNAcentral.
GGGUGAUCCUGCCCGUAUUCAUAUGCUUGUCUCACAGAUUAUACC